Molecule: ribosomal RNA, 342 nt
Filed under: Triticum aestivum (bread wheat)
Lineage: Eukaryota; Viridiplantae; Streptophyta; Magnoliopsida; Poales; Poaceae
Description: partial small subunit ribosomal RNA
Source: RNAcentral
AUGACUCUUGGAACAUGCUUCAAUGUGGUUAAGCCGUUGGAUACUGAAACCGUCAAUUUUCUGAGGAUGAGAGCACUGCAACACAGGUCUAUCAAAAAUCACAGGUCUGUGGCUGAGGAUGAAGAACAAGAUGCGUUAAACGCGAAUGUCUAUCCAUAUAAUCUGGGUCGGUUCAUAUGGAGCAGUGAACUCCAUGAAAAGUUCUUGCAGGCUGUCGAAGUGCUUGGGGCGUCUGCUACGGCUAGAAAAAUUCACCAGUACAUGAAUGCAAAGGAUUUGAAUUUGACCAUACAGCACGUCGCAAGCCAUCUCCAGAAACACCGGCUGCGAGUGCAGAGGUAG